RNAcentral lists this long non-coding RNA (536 nucleotides) under Mytilus galloprovincialis (Mediterranean mussel). Lineage: Eukaryota; Metazoa; Mollusca; Bivalvia; Mytilida; Mytilidae. The record is from RNAcentral.
AGAAGGUUAACCAACUCAUCGGAGAAAUAUUUUUAUAAGAUUGCAUACGGAAACAUCAUUAUUUACGUUUCUUCGUUCCCCGUUUUUAACAGUCUCUUCCUAAAUAUAACCCUGCAUUUAAUUCAUGGAAUUUUAAUCGUAAUUACACCUUAUGUAAGAAUCCGGGGUUUUGAUUGGUUAAUAGCCAGUGUAUUUUUCACCAAUUUACUGUUAUCAAAUGAAUAUCGUUCAUUUUUAACGCCGCCGGGGUAUUUGCUAAAAGGAUAUGCCUUUUUUACCCUCUCUGCCGUGGUAUUUGCCAAAAAAUACUCUAUCCGACUGGACGCUUGUAACGUCACGAUCAUCAAUGCGUUUUAGUACAUUAACAUUCGGUGUAAUUAAACAGAUAUAUCAUGUUAUUGAGGGGUAUUUGCGAAAAAUACCAGUCUUGAGAAUGAAUUUCCCUCGCCUUACGGCUCGUGAAAUUUAACAUUCUCUCGACUGGUAUUUUUCGCAAAUACCCCUCCUUAACAUGAUAUAUCUGUUCAUAAUUUACC